CAGCAGCCGCGGUAAUACGUAGGGUGCAAGCGUUAAUCGGAAUUACUGGGCGUAAAGCGUGCGCAGGCGGUCCGCUAAGACAGAUGUGAAAUCCCCGGGCUUAACCUGGGAACUGCGCUUGUGACUGCACAGCUAGAGUAUGGCAGAGGGGGGUGGAAUUCCACGUGUAGCAGUGAAAUGCGUAGAGAUGUGGAGGAACACCGAUGGCGAAGGCAGCCCCCUGGGCCAAUACUGACGCUCAUGCACGAAAGCGUGGGGAGCAGACAGGAUUAGAUACCCCCGUAGUCCCUGUCUCUUAUAC
This 301-nucleotide ribosomal RNA is filed under the name uncultured bacterium. RNAcentral describes it as "partial 16S ribosomal RNA". It matches the Rfam family "Bacterial small subunit ribosomal RNA", at positions 509 to 807 of the family's 1533-position model. The record is from RNAcentral.